RNAcentral lists this long non-coding RNA (1407 nucleotides) under Mytilus galloprovincialis (Mediterranean mussel). Lineage: Eukaryota; Metazoa; Mollusca; Bivalvia; Mytilida; Mytilidae. The record is from RNAcentral.
UGUUGAAGGCUGUACACUGACCUAUUAUGGUUUACCUUUAUAAAUUGUUAAUUGGAUUUCACACCACAUCUUUCUAUAUCUAUAUUUUUUUAUUUGUCUUAUACUUCUGUCUGAGUUAUCAGGGGUCCCUCAUCAUGCUCAUGCAAUAUCAAAAAUGAUAAAAAAGAAUAAUCGUGUUAUGAAACAAUAAUUAGUGCGGUCGGGGUUGCAUAAUAGGUUUUAGCAUGCAGCUUCUCUGUAUUGUCAAGGUCAACAUCCAGUGUUAUAAAGUGAUACAGUCCUGAACUGGAAUUAUCAAUGUUUAAAACAACAUCUACAGACUCAACAUUCAUAUGCAAUACUCACACACUUCAGAAACAGGUGAUCACAAUAUUAGUACAUCAAUUCCCAAGUAUCAAUGUACAUUUUUUCCCCACAGCACUUGCUAAAAUCAAUUUGAAACAAGCAUUUGGUUUACUUAUUAAAGUUAACACACUUUGACACACUGAAUUUGUUAUAAAAUAUGACUUGGUAUGAAAUAUAUAUUAUUCCAGGUUGACAUAUACAUGUUUUGGUCAUUGUUGGUGUUUGUAUGUUUUAAUCGAAGAUUUUAGGUGAAAUAAUCAAUAAAUCUUAACGCCAGGUCACAAUGUACAACUUGCAAAAAUUACAAUUUAAAUAAUAUAAAUAGUUUUUUUAUACCCCAUAUUAAUUUUUGGUAUAACGUUGUCUGUUGUCAACAUGUCGGACACUAGCUCAAAAACAGUUUAAUCAAUAUUUAGAUUAUACUUGGUGAAUUGUUUAUCUAUUGACUAGAGCUCCAUUUUGGGUUUUUUUUAACAAAUUUCAUAUUAUAUGUUUCCUAGUUUUUGUUUUUUUUCUUCUGUUUAUUAAUUUCUGUCCUCAUUACUUUAUAGAAUGCCUAAGAGGAAGUAAAGGUAGAAUGUGCCAUAUCACAGGAAAAGACGUGGAACUGGCAAACCAAAAUUAGACAAAGGGCAAACUGAAAUACAUGCACUUACGCCAGACAUCGCACAUGAUGAAGAUCUUUUGUCAUCUGAAAACAGAAGAGCUUACAUGCACCAGUGUGGAUUCAGUCUCUUUGGAUCAUUCAUAUUUGUCUGAUAACCAGACAGUGGCAGAACUUUGUUUAGAUGAAGAAAUUGAUGUUAAUACACAUAUUAAACUUGAAUGCAAAAAAGAAUGUGUAAUAUCUUAUUUAUAUGUUCACGGCAUCGAACUAAAUAGAGAACAUGACAUCUGGUUAGGAUUGCCAAGUGUGUAUGACAACAUAACAAGUAUUGAGAGACUAUUGUCUAAAUUAAAGAGUUACACUGUUUGUGUAUACAUGUAUAUAUGUAAUAUAUGUUGUGUUUGAGAUAAAUAGAUUUAAAUCUAAAUUGCUUUAGUUUGAGUUUCAACUUCUGC